UGGGGAAUAUUGGACAAUGGGGGCAACCCUGAUCCAGCCAUGCCGCGUGUGUGAAGAAGGCCUUUUGGUUGUAAAGCACUUUAAGCGAGGAGGAGGCUACCCUGACUAAUACUCAGGAGUAGUGGACGUUACUCGCAGAAUAAGCACCGGCUAACUCUGUGCCAGCAGCCGCGGUAAUACAGAGGGUGCGAGCGUUAAUCGGAAUUACUGGGCGUAAAGCGCGCGUAGGCGGUUUGUUAAGUCGGAUGUGAAAUCCCCGGGCUCAACCUGGGAAUUGCAUUCGAUACUGGCAAGCUAGAGUAUGGGAGAGGAAGGUAGAAUUCCAGGUGUAGCGGUGAAAUGCGUAGAGAUCUGGAGGAAUACCGAUGGCGAAGGCAGCCUUCUGGCCUAAUACUGACGCUGAGGUGCGAAAGCAUGGGGAGCAAACAGGAUUAGAUACCCAUGUAGUCCCUGAGCGGGCUGGCAAGGCGCAU
RNAcentral lists this ribosomal RNA (473 nucleotides) under uncultured bacterium. RNAcentral describes it as "bacterial SSU rRNA". It matches the Rfam family "Bacterial small subunit ribosomal RNA", at positions 355 to 825 of the family's 1533-position model. The record is from RNAcentral.